This 829-nucleotide ribosomal RNA is filed under the name uncultured marine microorganism. RNAcentral's name for it is "bacterial SSU rRNA". It matches the Rfam family "Bacterial small subunit ribosomal RNA", at positions 8 to 881 of the family's 1533-position model. The record is from RNAcentral.
AGAGUUUGAUCCUGGCUCAGGAUGAACGCUGGCGGUAUGCCUAACACAUGCAAGUCGAACGAUGUCUUCGGACAUAGUGGCGGACGGGUGAGUAACGCGUGAGAAUCUGCCUCUAGGAUGGGGAUAACGGUUGGAAACGACCGCUAACACCCAAUAUGCCGUAAGGUGAAAAAUUUAUUGCCUGGAGAGGAGCUCGCGUCUGAUUAGCUAGUUGGUGGGGUAAGAGCUCACCAAGGCCUCGAUCAGUAGCUGGUCUGAGAGGAUGAGCAGCCACACUGGGACUGAGACACGGCCCAGACUCCUACGGGAGGCAGCAGUGGGGAAUUUUCCGCAAUGGGCGAAAGCCUGACGGAGCAAUACCGCGUGAGGGAGGAAUGCCUUUGGGUUGUAAACCUCUUUUCUCAGGGAAGAAGAUCUGACGGUACCUGAGGAAUAAGUAUCGGCUAACUCCGUGCCAGCAGCCGCGGUAAUACGGAGGAUGCAAGCGUUAUCCGGAAUCAUUGGGCGUAAAGCGUCCGCAGGUGGUUUCCAAAGUCUGCUGUUAAAGACUGGAGCUCAACUCCGGAACGGCGGUGGAAACCUGGAAACUAGAGUUCGGUAGGGGUAGCAGGAAUUCCCAGUGUAGCGGUGAAAUGCGUAGAUAUUGGGAAGAACAUCGGUGGCGAAGGCGUGCUACUGGACCGUAACUGACACUCAGGGACGAAAGCUAGGGGAGCGAAAGGGAUUAGAUACCCCUGUAGUCCUAGCUGUAAACGAUGGAAACUAGGUGUGGCUUGUAUCGACCCGAGCCGUGCCGUANCUNACGCGUUAAGUUUCCCGCCUGGGGAGU